ACAUCCAACACCCUAUCUUUUCUGUUUCAAUGGAAGUCAAUGAACUAAGUAGACUACACACAGCUGCUAUCGCAUUGGUGUCCAUGGGAGCGCCACCCCCUUAAUUGACCGGAACUUAAUUAUUUUCAGCUGCAAAAGGCCUGAGUGAACUAUCUUCAUUUAUCUGCCAUCUUUCACUACAAAUCGGUCCACAUGGCAGUGAUACUGCUGUUUUCAACUAAAUGUACGUGUGCGACGAGGAGCGAGGACUGAUGGUAAAGGCAGAUUACCUAUUCGCCGUCGGAUCCUUACAAGGCACCCAGACCUACGUUCCCAAUAUCGCCAUCUCUUUCUCCUAUGAAUGACGAGGAUCAGGGACUUGUCGGACGUCUGAAGUAAAUCCUUCGCGUCCGACUUAUUCAAGAAAAAAAUCUUCCUGUACAGGGAGCAGUCACAGACAUCUCCAUGAUAUCAGAAUCUGACAGUGGUCUCUUCUACAGCCCAUUGUUGAGAGCCUCCCUGAUGCCACAGACGCUGUCCUGCACUGUUCCUACCAGAUCAUCUCCUGCCCAACAUCAGCCAGGAGCUGCCC
Molecule: long non-coding RNA, 571 nt
Organism: Oncorhynchus keta (chum salmon)
Lineage: Eukaryota; Metazoa; Chordata; Actinopteri; Salmoniformes; Salmonidae
Exons: 3
Source: RefSeq, a predicted model, not a curated record